CACGCCCUAAACGAUGUCUACUAGUUGUUGGGUCUUAAUUGACUUAGUAACGCAGCUAACGCGUGAAGUAGACCGCCUGGGGAGUNACGCGAAAAACCUUACCUACCCUUGACAUGUACAGAAUGCCGAAGAGAUUUGGCGGUGCUCGCAAGAGAACUGUAACACAGGUGC
This 171-nucleotide ribosomal RNA is filed under the name uncultured bacterium. RNAcentral describes it as "partial 16S ribosomal RNA". The record is from RNAcentral.